Molecule: long non-coding RNA, 18497 nt
Filed under: Triticum aestivum (bread wheat)
Lineage: Eukaryota; Viridiplantae; Streptophyta; Magnoliopsida; Poales; Poaceae
Description: long non-coding RNA (TAES_LNC024263)
Source: RNAcentral
GCAUCAGGGUAUUAUAUAUUUUCUCUUUUUAUAAUCUGCGCAUUAUUUUAACUUCCUUAACAUUGAACAUAUUUCUAGAAAAUUACUUUUAUCCUGAGAUAAUCACACGAUACUAGUCCCUUCUUCAAGAUACAUUAGUCAAAUAGUCAGAUCCUAGUCUCAGAGAAUUCAUAGUCUCAGAACAAACAAAACGUAUGGUCACUACUUACAUAACAUAAUAAUCAUUCAACCAUGAUUUUACAAGAUGAUAUUUAUGAUUAAACUCUUGGGUCUGACCCAUGCUGCACUUUCUCAAUAGCUCCUUUUUCAAGAUGCCGAGACGAUCGGACACACGAGAUGGCCGACAGAUCGAAGGCAUGUCAACAAAUCCAGCCACUUGCAUGCCACUUGCAUCCAAUAUACGCCCGCGACACCCAAACAAUCGAAGGCGCAAAGAAACGUCCACCAAAUUGAAGACACAACAUCAACACCAUCAACCUCAGGUAAUAUCCACAUGCAAUUCCUCACAUGUGUGUCAGCAUUUUGAUCUCAGCUCAACCUUCCUUCUAAUAUUCUAUGUCAAAACUCUUCUGAUACUAAAUUAUAAACCAUGUUUUUAAUGCAUCCUGACACUACCAUGACACCUAUUGAACAAUUAUUGAUUUAUAGUGCCAUCAUACCAGAUAAAUGUACUGUAUGUGACACCUUAUUAGUCUCUUCAUCAUAUCUCCAAAUGCACUUUCAUGUCUGCAAUGGCAAAACAUUAUUAAGUACUCCCUCUGUAACUUAAUAUAAGACGUUUUUUGAUAGUGUCAAAAAAACGUCUCAUUAAGUUAUGGAGGGAGUACAAUAUAAAUCAUAGUACAUGAUACUAUAUUAAGAAAACUCUAUACGUCACUGAGAAAAUCACAUUUGCAGAGAUGACAGUCCAGCAUACGUCAGCCCCAGCAGCUCAUCAUACAAAAAGAAAGGAAGAACAACCUCUAAACUCAAAGAGCACAAAGCGGACAAGGACUGGAGAGGGAAGAAGAAAUACGAACACAGAGGCUCCUAAACGAUUGAGAAAGGAUAGUGCUGAAGAAGAUAAGGAAUUGAAGUGUGCAAGAAGCGGAAGCAACAAAAACAACAUUAGGAUCAAUGUUGGAGACAACAACAGAACAAAUUCAAACAAAGGCAUGGAACUUCGGAAGGUAUGGAACUUCGGAAGGCCAACAUACAAAUGCCAGUAUUGCAAAGCAUUGCUAUGGUGUGAAGAAAGAUUAAAUUCAAACAAAGGAACAAAGACACCCUCUUUUGGAAUAUGCUGCAAACAGGGAAAAAUCGAUCUGCCACCACUAAGAGAGCCUCCACCAUACCUCAGAAACCUCUUAAGAAGUGAAGGACAGGAUUCAGUGAACUUCAAAGAAAAUAUAAGGUCAUACAACUCAAUGUUUUCAUUCACAUCCAUGGGAGGAGUUGUGGACAAGGAAAUAAACACUCGCAAAGGACCUUAUGUUUUUCGUUUGCAUGGACAGAACUACCACCACAUCGGAACUCUUUUACCUGAAGGUACAAACAAACCUCGGUUUGCACAGCUGUACAUCUAUAAUACCGAAAAUGAGGUGGCAAACAGGAUAAGUGCGUCAAGAUGCAAUGAUAAUAAAUCAACAGUGGACCCCAACAUUGUCAAAGAAUUGCAAAUAAUGCUCGACGACAACAACAUCCUCGCAAAAACAUUCAGAAUGGCAAGAGAUAGAUUCCAAGAAGGAGACUACCAUGAUUACACACUUCGGAUACUAGGAAAAAGGAACGGAACACACAACCUUCCAUCCGCAUCUGAAGUUGCAGCAUUGGUAGUAAGAGAUCCAACUGGAGAGAGUGAAGGACGUGACAUUGUUGUUGAGUACAAAAAUAUGGUGCCACAAAGGAUAUCAGAGAUCCACCCGAAAUUCAUGUCCAUGCAAUAUCCGUUGUUGUUCCCAUAUGGAGAAGAUGGUUUUAAACUCGAGAUACCGUACAAGAAAACAAAAGGAGCUAAAAACAGCAGGAAAUACGUAACGUUGUUGGACUACUAUGCAUUCUACCUACAGCAACGUCCAGACCAAGGAAUGUUAUUGCUCAAGUCUGGGCAUCUGUCACUGCAAUUUUGGGUGGAUGUAUACACAUGUAUCGAGCAAAAUAGACUAAACUGGAUCCGACACAAUCAAGGAAAGCUAAGAACUGAACUUUACAGUGGAUUGCAGCAUGCAAUUAAGCGAGGGGACACAAGAACAGAGCAGGUUGGAAAGAGGAUAAUUGUGCCUUCAUCUUUUACAGGUGGUAGAAGAAACAAGGCACAAUACUUGCAAGAUGCAUUCGCAAUAUGUCGUUGGGCUGGAUACCCAGACCUGUUUAUAACAUUCACAUGCAAUGCAAAGUGGCCUGAGAUCCAAUACAUGCUAGAUGAAGCGGGAGGUGACCAAAAGCCAGCCGAUCGGCCAGAUAUUUUGGACAGAGUAUUUAUGAUAAAACUAAAGGAGCUAACGAGAGACAUAAAAGAAAAGAAAUACUUUGGAGAAACACUUGCAAGUAAGUUCCAUCGACUAUCAAUAUUUACUCUUUCAUGCGUCAUCUUAUAGUCAGACAGAUUCUUACCCUUUAGUAAGAUGCAUUUCAAUUUUACCUAAAGUUAACAAACUAUUAUUAACCAACUGCAGUUAUCUACACAAUAGAAUUCCAGAGGAGAGGACUCCCGCAUGCCCACAUACUAAUAUUUCUGAAGGACAAAGACAAGUACCCAGAACCAUCGCAGAUCGAUAAAAUAAUAAGCGCUGAGAUCCCAAACAAGGACGAGGAUCCUGAGGCAUUUGGAGCUGUCGAGAACUUCAUGAUGCAUCGCCCAUGUGGAGAGGCUAAGCAAAACUCACCAUGCAUGGUGGGCCAUAGAUGCAGCAAGCAUUUCCCAAAAAGAUACAAUGUUAGUACUACCAUCGAUGAGGACGGGUUUCCAGUAUAUAAAAGGAAGGACGACGGAAGGCAAAUCAAAAAGGGAGUAGUCAUGCUCGACAACAGAUUUGUCGUGCCAUACAACCGAAAUCUUCUGGUCAAAUUUCAAGCUCACAUAAAUGUCAAAUGGUGCAAUAGGUCUAGAUCAAUCAAGUACCUAUAUAAGUAUAUCGACAAAGACGACGAUCAAGUUACAACCUUGCUCAAGGAAAGGCUCGCAGCAAAUAAAACUGACGAGAUCAAGAAAUACCUAGAGAUGAGAUACAUAUCAACAUCAGAAGCAUGCUGGAGGAUAUUCCAGUUUGAUCUUCACUAUCGUGAUCCAGCCGUUGAGAGGCUACCUUUCCAUCUUGAAAAUGAGCAGCAAGUGAUUUUUCCUGACUCGACUGAUCUUGACAAGAUAGUUACAAGGGAAGGAUCUAAAAGUACCAAGUUCACUCAAUGGAUGGAGGCAAAUAAAAUAUAUGAGCUAGGGAAAGAAUUAACGUAUGCAGAAUUCCCUACAAAAUUUGUAUGGAAACGUGAAACAAAAUGUUGGCAGAAGCGAAAAAGGGACUAUGCAAUUGGAAGAAUCUACUAUGCACAUCCUGCAAGUGGUGAGCGACAUUAUCUGAGGAUGCUUCUAAACACCAAGAAAGGAUGCACAUCAUUUGAGGACAUUAGGACCAUUGAUGGAGUCCCUCACCCAACGUACAAAUCAGCAUGCCAAGCCCUUGGAUUUCUGGAUGAUGACACUGAGUGGAUUGACUGUAUCAAUGAAGCAUCAAGUUGGGCAUCUGGAGCACAACUGCGUCAGUUAUUCACCACCAUAUUGUCCCAUUGCGAAGUCACAAACCCAAAGAUAUUGUGGGAUUCAACAUGGGAGGCAUUGUGUGAAGAUAUGCAAUACAAAAGAAGGAUUAUUCUAAACAUUCCAACGCUUCAGCUCACCAACACACAGAAACAAGCGUAUGGUCUGAUUGAGAUAGAAAAACUGAUGAGGCAAGUAGGAAAGUCAUUAAAGGAAUAUACAGAGAUAGAGCUACCAAAUGCUGCAGAGCUAGAUGAACUUGGGAACAGACUAAUAAACGAAGAGGUCAACUACGACAUGGAGAAACUCAAGGAUGAGCACAAAACCAUACUAAACAAUCUUAACCAAGACCAGAAGAAAGCCUUCGAUAAAAUAAUGGAAUCCGUCAACAAAGGGCUAGGAAAGCAGAUAUUUGUCGAAGGCUACAGUGGCACAGGAAAAACCUAUCUAUGGAAAGCACUAACGACGAAGCUAAGAUCAGAGGGAAAGAUAGUGCUUGCGGUGGCAUCAUGUGGCAUUGCAGCGUUGCUUCUCCAAGGUGGAAGAACAGCACACUCAAGGUUCCGCAUUCCACUUAAUAUAACUGAAGAAUCAACGUGUGAAAUAAAACAAGGCUCACAUUUGGCUGAACUACUAAAGAAGACCUCACUUAUAUUGUGGGACGGAGCUCCUAUGGCAAACAAACACUGCUUCGAGGCACUAGACAAAAGCCUUAGAGAUAUUCUCAGGUUCACUAACGAAAACAGCGACGAAAAGCCAUUUGGUGGAAUGACAAUUAUACUAGGAGGCGACUUCAGACAAAUCCUACCAGUUAUAACCAAAGGAAGGAGAGAACAAAUAGUUAAUGCUACAAUCAAAAGGUCAUAUCUGUGGAAACACUUCGAAAUAUUUGAGUUAACACAAAACAUGCGGCUGAAGUGUUUGUCAGAUGAUCCAAUACAAAAGCAAAAGGUCGCUGAAUUUGCAGAGUGGAUACUACAAAUUGGCGAUGGGAAAACAGCAUCAGAUGAAGGAGAGGAUUGGAUAAAAAUACCAAAGGACCUACUGCUACAGAAAGGAGAAAAUCUAAAGAACUAAUCGUCGAAAGCAUAUAUCCAAACUUGCUGCAAAAAUACCGUGAGCGGGAUUACCUAGAAGAAAGAGCAAUACUCUGUCCAAGAAAUGAUACAGUCAAGGAGAUAAACGACCACAUCAUGAGCCAAAUACAAGGUGAUGAGGUGACAUACCUAAGCCUGGACACCGUGUGCAAGGCAACGACAAACACCAAUAUCAUGAUGAACAUGCAGCCUACUGAAUUCCUAAACACCUUGACGUCCCCAGGAAUCCCAGACCAUGAGCUAAAACUCAAAGUGGGUUUGCCGGUCAUGCUCCUGCGCAACAUCAACCAAGCAGCAGGUUUAUGCAACGGUACAAGAAUGACAAUAACACAACUUGGAAACAAAUACAUCGAGACACAAAUAAUCACAGGAACACACAUCGGUGACAAGGUAUACGUACCUCGAAUAAUCAUGUCACCCAGCGACUCAAAAUGGCCAUUCGUGCUGAAAAGAAGGCAAUAUCCAUUAUCAGUGUGCUUCGCAAUGACGAUAAACAAGAGCCAAGGUCAGUCCUUAAACAAGGUAGGAAUAUAUUUGCCUAAGCAAGUGUUCCGGUCGUGCGCCGCCCGCCGCGGCCGUGUACGCCGCUCCCCGCGAUGCACAACGCUCCCCACCUCCAACUCCGGCAGUGCCUGUGAGCGCGGCUGAACCAGCGCGCAUCAUCAUGUCGCGCUCCGUCGAGAUGGAGGAGGCGGAAGAGGUGCUGAGCCGUGCGAUGGUGGCCACCAUCACGGGAACGCGGCCGCAGGUGACCGCCGACGAGGUGGCCCAGCUCCUGUGCUCCACGUUCGGCUUUGAAGACGGAGACUUCACCACCCACCUGCACAAGCCUGAGGAUUUCCUCAUCAUCUUCGGCUCCCGCGCCUCCAAGGACCGCAUGAACGGCGACCACUUCAUCCGCAGCCAGCGCUUCUCCCUGUCGUUACGCCCAUGGUGCAAGCUUGCCCAUGCCGGCUCCGGCGGGUUUGAAUACCGCGUCGAGCUCGAGCUCCGCGGUAUCCCCGCUAAUGCCUGGCAUCUCGCGACGGCGGAGCAUAUCCUUGGUGCUAGCGUUUGGAUUGAGCGCCUCCACCCCUCGACGCGUUCCCGUGCGGACCUCGCCACCUUUCGCCUCUCCGGUCGUGCUCACGACCCGGCCGCCAUCCUGGAGAUCGUCGAAGUUACUCCGGGCCGCUCUGCCUCCUCCACACCCCCCCCCCNNNNNNNNNNNNNNNNNNNNNNNNNNNNNNNNNNNNNNNNNNNNNNNNNNNNNNNNNNNNNNNNNNNNNNNNNNNNNNNNNNNNNNNNNNNNNNNNNNNNNNNNNNNNNNNNNNNNNNNNNNNNNNNNNNNNNNNNNNNNNNNNNNNNNNNNNNNNNNNNNNNNNNNNNNNNNNNNNNNNNNNNNNNNNNNNNNNNNNNNNNNNNNNNNNNNNNNNNNNNNNNNNNNNNNNNNNNNNNNNNNNNNNNNNNNNNNNNNNNNNNNNNNNNNNNNNNNNNNNNNNNNNNNNNNNNNNNNNNNNNNNNNNNNNNNNNNNNNNNNNNNNNNNNNNNNNNNNNNNNNNNNNNNNNGCCCGCGCUGACGUCGACCACGCCCACGCCCGCAUCGAUGCUCCGCCCGCAGGCGAUGAUGCCGAUGCCGGCGCCGCUCCCGGCCCGAGUCGCAGCCGCCAUCGCCGCCACGGCCGUGGCCGCAAGCGCCGUCGCACUACUGCCGCGCCGGAUGGACGCGCUGAUGGCAUGGCUAUGGACACUGCUGGCUGGACGCGCUCCCGUGGCCAGCAGCGUGCUGAUGGCGUGGCCGUCGCCGCUGAAUGGUCCGGAGCCUGCGCCGCCGCGUGUACCCUUCCGCCGCCGCCGGCUGUGCCCCGCUCGGACCGGUGCAUGGAUGCCUGGCCCACCACCUGCGCUGCGGGUCACCCCCCUCGUCAUAAAGCCAAAAGAGGAAAGAGGGGAGGAAAGAAAAAGCGCGAAAGAAGGGAGGCUGCGCUCGCCAAGGCUGCGGCGGCAGCAGAUCCCAGGCCGACAGGAUCGCAUCAGCGGUUGGCCGUGCAUGUCGCUGCCCCAUCUGGCUCCCAACCGCUGGUGCCAACCCCCCCGACAGGAUCGCCUCAGAGGGAGGACAUGCAUGCCGCUGAGCCAGCUGGCCCCCAACUGCUGAAGCCAACCCCACCCACCCCUGACGCCGUCACUUGUGUCGCCUUGCGACCUGGUGGGCGCGGUUCCAGAUGACGAGCCCACCUGCAGCGAGGUCCCGGACUCCCAGCCAAUGGCGCCUCCAAUCGCUGUUGUGGAUGUCGAUUCUCUGUCGGGACAAAGCGCUGCUUUGCCCACAUCAGCGCCUGCCGCCGCCGUCCUGCAUGCUGGCCAAUCCGCGCGGGCGGACGCGCGGAAUCUCCAAUCUGAUGCCGCCUCACUGCCACCCCAUGGCUUGCUGGUUUCUGCUGCUGGGGCUGACUGCCAGCCCGCAAGCCCCUCAGCGGCCCAAGCCCAGGUGCGGAUCCUCCAGAGGCCCCAAAGCCCGGACAGCCCAUCAGUUGAGCAGGCGAUUCUGACGCCAUCACCUACCAUCAGAAGCGCGACACGCUUUGCGUCCCCCCCUGUCACGCUCCGCCGCAGCCGCCCGCGUGCUCCCUCGACAAGCUCCUGGACCCUUGGUGACUUCCUCACCGCGGCCACCAGGCAGCUCAGCUCGGUCCUCCCAACUCCUGGCCGCAAGAAGAGAAGGCAGCCGCUGAAUUUCUCCCAGCCUCGGCGCGGGCGCUCGGCCACCGCGGCCAAGGCGAAGACCGGUGCACCGCCCACUGCAGAACGACGCGCGCAGGUGCAGAUACUACGCACGCUCGGCAUCGUCGGUGUGGAUCAGGCGAUCACCCCGGAAGCCAUGAAAGCAUACGAUGAUGUGUUUGCCGCGCCGAUCCCCCAGACCGUCCUUGCGGCCAUUGCGGCGCUGGUUGGUCGCGAGCUCCCCGUCGACCCCUCCGUCGCACCGGUUACCACGGUCAUCGCUGUCAGGCCGAUCGAGGCCUAGGCGCGCGUGUGGACCCCCUGUGUCGAUCAUGUUCUUAUGGAUCAUGGCCUGAAAAUUAUCGUUUGGAAUGUCCGCGGAUUAAACGCUCGCGCUCGGCGCACCGCCAUUCGCUCGUUGAUUGUCUCCACCGACGCGUCGAUCGUUUGCUUCCAAGAAACCAAGAUGGAGUUCAUCCACAUGUCUACUGUCCUUGAAACACUCGGUUCGGACUUCGAUGACUACGUUUACCUGCCGGCGAUUGGCACCCGCGGCGGUAUUCUGCUGGCCUGGAAGAGCAGGAUGGUGACUGCUGACAAUCACAUGUUCAGCCCCAACACGCUUACUACCCAGGUCUCGACUCCAUCGAGCGCUGAUGCACCUUGGUGGCUGACCAUUGUUUAUGGGCCGCAGCAGGAUCAUGAGAAGAUCGCGUUCCUUCAGGAAAUCCGCGACGUGCGCGCCAAUUGCGCCGGCCCAUGGAUGCUUUGCGGGGACUUCAACUUGAUCUAUCGAGAUGAAGACAAGAACAACGGGAACAUCAACAGACGCAUGAUGGGGCGCUUCCGCCGUGUUAUCAAUGACCUCGCGCUUAAGGAGGUUUACCUCAACGGUCGGCGAUACACAUGGUCGAAUGAGCAGACCCGCCCACGCUGGUUCACCUCGAUCGUGUCCUCUGCACUGCAGACUGGGAGGAGCGGCACGGAGAGUGCCACCUUCGCUGCCUCGCCUCGGUUGUCUCCGAUCAUAGCCCGCUCAUUCUUGACUGCUCGCCUUUGCCCCCGGUGCAUCGGCGUUUCCAUUUCGAGGAGUACUGGACGCGUAUUGCGGGCUACCAGGACGUGGUCGCGGCUGCUUAGAGUUCGGUGGACGACCCGAGCCCGUUUUGCCGCAUCAUGCGGCGCAUGCAGGCCACUGCGCGCAUGCUCACGAGCUGGAGUGCUCGCGCUGUGGGCAACAUCCGCGACCAGCUCGCGAUCUCGCGUGAGCUGCUCCUGCGUCUUGACUCGGCCCAGGAGCUCCGCCAGCUAACACCCCACGAGGACUGGCUCCGCCGACAGAUCAAGCUGUCAUAUCUUGGCCUCGCCUCGCUGGAGCAAACUUUGGCGCGACAGCGCGCGCGCAUCUCUUCCCUCAAAGAUGGCGACGCCAACACUUCUUUUUUCCAUCGCCAGUGCACCUAUCGCAAGCAGAAGAACAUGAUCCACUCCCUGACGGUUGACGGCGCCGUGCUCACCGACCCUGCUGACAUGGCCGCGGCGACCUUCGCGCACUUUGAUUCUCUGCUCGGGACCGAUCGCCCUCGAGACUGCACCCUUGACCUGCAGCACAUCAUCGAGCCGCCCGUCCUUGACGACUUGGAAGCCCCUUUCAGCGAAGAAGAGAUUUGGCAAACCAUAAAGCGCUUGCCAGCGCGCAAGGCACCCGGCCCAGAUGGUUUUACCGUGGAGUUCCUUCGAUCCUGCUGGCCCGUUGUCAAGCAUGACUUCGUCUGCGCCUUCCAGCAGCUCCAUGCGCUCCGGGGACGAGGAUUCAGCUGCCUGAACCAAGCGCUGCUCACGCUGAUCCCAAAGCGCGCCGACGCUGCCAGCCUGUUCGACUACAGGCCCAUCAGCCUAAUCCACCUCGUCGCCAAGAUCUUCGUGAAGAUGUUAUCUCUCCGCCUUGCGCCCAAGCUGAAUGACUUGACCAGUCCCAUCCAGAACGCCUUCAUCCCCGGGUGCAGCCUCCACGACAAUUUCUUGAUCGUGCGGCAGUCGGCGCGCCUCCUCCACCAGCUGGAAGCCCCGCGCAUCCUCCUCAAGCUCGACCUCACCCGCGCCUUCGACUCCGUCUCGUGGCCCUUUCUCUUCGAGGCCCUGCGUCGAUAUGGAUUCGGCGACCGCUUCCUCGGCUGGAUCGCUAUCUUGCUAUCGUCGGCCAGCACCCGAGUCCUUCUGAAUGGCGCGCCUGGACCUGCGAUCUGGCAUCGUUGUGGACUCCGCCAGGGCGACCCUGUGUCACCGCAGCUCUUUGUGCUUGCUGUCGACACGUUGGGGCGCUUGUUCUGCCGCGCUGCCGAGCUCAACGUUCUGCAACAGUUGCACCCCCGUCGUGCGAUUCCCAUCAUCUCGCUGUAUGCCGACGACGUCAUCCUCUUCUGCCACCCCUCGCCUAGCGACACGUUGGCGGUCAGAGAGAUCCUGCAGCUUUUCGGCCGUGCGUCAGGCCUGCGAGUCAACUUCCAGAAAAGCACUGCCACGAUGAUCCGUUGUGCGGAUGACGAGGUCGCCCCGGCCGUCGCGACCCUGGGAUGCCCCCUCGCGGAGUUCCCCAUCACCUACCUGGGCAUCCCCCUCACCUUGCGACGCCCGACGGCCGCCCAGCUACAACCCGUCGUUGACAAGACAGCCGGGAAGCUGCCCACUUGGAAGGCGCAUCUCAUGAACAAGGCUGGGCGCCUCGCCUUUGUCAAGUCCGUGCUCAGCGCCAUUCCCCUACAUCAGCUCCUUGUGCUCGCGCCGCCGAAGAAAGUCCUCAAACUCCUGGAGAAGAUCCAGAGAGGAUUCCUUUGGGCUGGCCGGGCUGAUGCCCAAGGCGGCAACUGCCACGUGAAUUGGCGCCGCGUCUGCCGCCCUACCAGCCUGGGUGGCCUGGGCAUCCACGACCUGGAGCGCACGGGCCUCGCCUUGCGCACCAGAUGGCUCUGGUUUGCACGCACUGAUGGAAACAGAGCAUGGGCUGGCCUCGACCUGCAGUUCUCUCGCGAGGAACGUGCAUUCUUCUUCGCGUCCACCUUCAUGAUCCUUGGCGAUGGAAGACGGGCUCUAUUUUGGGAGGACCGCUGGAUCAACGGACGAUCCAUCUCUGAGAUCGCUCCUCAGCUGUACGCCCUCAUCCCCAAGCGCCGCCGCAAAAGCAGAACGGUGGCAGACGGUCUUCAGGCGCACCAGUGGGCUUCAGACAUUCAUGGCACUCUUGGCAUCCAAGAGAUUGGCCAAUACUUGCUAACCUGGCGAGCCAUCGAGCAUACCACUCUCUUGCUGGACCGGACCACCUCCAAUGGAAGUGGAAUGCUUCAGGCACAUACACCGCGCAGUCCGCGUACCUAGCCACCUUCCACGGCUCUACAGCCUGCCCGGCUUGGCAGCUUACCUGGAAGGGUUGGGCCCCUCCGUGUGUGAAGUUCUUCCACUGGCUCGCUAACUUGGGACGCUGCUGGACAGCCGACCGCCUCGCCCGCCGCGGAUUGCCGCACCCUCCUCGCUGCCCGCUUUGUGAUCAGGUGCCGGAAUCGAUGAACCACUUGAUCCUGGAAUGCCCCUUCACCAAGCAGGUUUGGCACGACGCCCUGUCUUGGCUGCACCUACCUUGCAGCGCGCCUAAUGGUGAAGGCUCCCUGUCCGUCUGGUGGCGCACGGCGCGGCAGGCCACGCCCAAGCCGAUGCACAAAGGGCUCACAACCGCAACGCUGCUGAUCCCUUGGAUGACCUGGAAGCAUCGCAAUGAUUGCGUCUUCAAUGCUGCAACCCCAUCGACUAGCGUCUUGGUAGCAAGGAUCAAGGAAGAAGCCGCGCUUUGGGCUACCGCGGGUGCUCGAGGCCUGCGUGUCAUCCUUCCACAGACCUGGGACGUCCACUAAUGUUUUCUAGUGCUUUUGUCUGUACCGGAGCCUCCUAGGAGGAUGUUACAAACUAUCUCUCUUUUCAAUAUAAUGAAACGCGUUUUCUCGAAAAAAAAAGUGUUCUGCCACGGACAACUGUAUGUGGCAUUAUCAAGAGUGACAAACAAGGAAGGAUUGAAGGUGCUGAUCAAUGACAAAGAGUGUCCAACUGAAGAUGUCGCAAAAAAUAUUGUUUAUAAAGAGAUAUUCUAAUUUACAGUGCAGUUGAUCAAGAUAACCUUCCCGCAAAAAAAAAAGGACAACCUAACCACAUGUUAUCAACAAAAUAUGUACUUGGUGGGUGUGUUCAUUUUAUUUAGCUAAUCAACAUAUAUAUGUUUGAUCUCUCCACACAAUAUUACUUUUUUUUGUUUAUUAGUUACUUAUCCCUGAAUAAUUUCUAUCUCUCUUCUAUCGUCUUUAAAAGAAACUGAAGCAUAAAUAUCUUUAGGUAGCUACAUGCAGUACUAUAUUUGAUCGUUCUGGAGAAAGUUCACCAAUGAAUUCCACCUAAUUAGUGAUUACUAAUCUCUCUUGCACUAACAUUCUCAUCUCUCUUACGGUUAGUCUCUCUAAAAAAAUAGGCAUCAACGAAGCCUCCUCAACCAAAUAAAUGUAUGUGUACAUAUGUAUCUUUAUUCUUUCAACAUAAUAUACAAUUUCCCAUUCAUCAAUUCUGUAUCCGUGAGCUAAAUCUUUAGUGUUUCCACAAAUAAGUUUUUUUGUACAUUAAUAUUUCUAUAAACUUGAGGAUGAUGGAUAAGUCUAUGUACUAAGGUCUUUGUGGGGCUGCAGCACAUGGUCCUUUGGCUGCAGCACAUGGUCCUUGUGGCAGUUAGGAUAGAAUCCCUGGCCAUCAAGGACUGGCAGUUAGGAUAGCAUCUUAGACUAGCAUCUUAAACUGGCAUCUUAGCAGCAUCUUAGACUAGCAUCUUAGCAUAUGCUUGGCUGGCUAGCAGCCUAUAAGUAUGUAUCCCCAACCCCUCAGGUUGGCAUGGCAUUGUGUGAGAAAUAAACCAACGAAAAUUGUCCCAACCCUCCUAGUGUCAUCCACAACUAUGAAAUGCUCAGGCUGAAAGGUCUAACAAGUGGUAUCAGAGCCAGGUUAUCUUGUACCCUGAGCAUUUCCUGCUUACCUCCCUCACCGGGAGCUGAGCAACCCAAGUCGGUAGCAGCAGCUGCUCCGUCUGCCUCUGGUUACCUCCCUCCCUCUGGACUGUCGAGCAGCGGCUCGGCAACAACAGCCUCUUCUUCACGCAACAGCCCCCCUGCAGCGAGCCAUGUCUGCAGGUCGCUCUCAGCACACGGCUACCUCGAGCAUGCGGCGCCGGCAGGAGGCCGAGCGCGCCGUGGCAGAGGAGCGUGAGCGAGCGGCUGUAGCAGCAGCUGCUGCGGCGGCAAGGGUGUCGAGGCUGGUUGCAGCGGAGCUGGCAGCAGCCAGAGCGGAGGUAGAAGCAGCCAGGGCGGCGGUAGAAGCAGCAGCAGCAGCAGAAGCAGCCCGUGAGGCUACAGCGGAUGCCAAGGCACUCCGCGGCGGCCCCGGCAGCUCCAGCGGCUCCGCGCCUGCGGACGACGGCGCCGACGCAGAUCGCGCCAAAGUGGCGCAGGAGCGGACAGCGCAGUGGGCAGCCGAGCACGCCCGCGCUCCAGGUGGAGGCGCGCACCGCGACGGCGGCUGCAACGACCAGGACCGCGGCCUCUACGAGAUCCAAACUGUGGUCAGGGAUGUUGGUCCCAGUGUUGGGUGGCCUACCCUCACUAAAACCAACUACGUCGAGUGGGCCGGGAUCAUGAAGGUCAGGCUCUAGGUGCGGCGCAUGUGGGAGGCAGUCCAGGACAGCAACGUCGACCACCUACAGGAUCGACGGGCACUGGACGCCCUCAUCGCCGCAGUCCCGCCCGAGAUGCAGUUCUCGCUUUCCAACAAGCGGACUGCCAAGGAGGCUUGGGACGCCAUCGCCGCAGCACGCAUCGGCAGCGACCGUGCUCGCAAGUCCACUCUGCAGGCACUUCGUAAGGAGUGGGAGAGCCUGGCUUUCAAGCCAGGUGAGGACGUUGAUGACUUUGCUCUCCGUCUCAACACUCUGCUGCAGAAGAUGGUGAAGUUUGGCGAUGCCACCUACACCGAGGAGAGAGUUGUCGAGAAGCUUUUUCGGUGCAUUCCCGAGAAGUACAAGCAGAUGGCUCGCUCGAUCGAGUCGUUGCUGGACCUCUCCACGAUGACGAUCGAGGAGGCGAUAGGCCGUCUCAAGGUCGUCGACACCGACGAGCCACAGCCUCCCUCGGGGCCCAUCACCACCGGCGGGAAGCUGCUCCUAACUCGGGAGCAGUGGGAUCCCAGCCUUGGUGACAGGAAGAAGGGGGAGCCUUCUUCCACGACGGGCGGCCGCAAGCGUGGCAAGCAGCGUAAGACGCGAAGAGGCCCCCCGGGCAGGGCACAAGGACGUGCCGAAGGUGACGCCCGCGGAGGCGCCAAGGACGGCGCCGCUGGCAAGCCCAAGCCGACACAAGACAAUAGUUGCCACAACUGUGGCCGGUUUGGCCAUUGGGCCAAUGAGUGUUGGCAACCACGACAAGGCCAGGCUCACGUCGCACAGGCGAAGGAGGAAGAGACGGCUCUGUUCAUGGCGCAUGCAAGCAUUGAGCUAUCCUCAGCGACACCAGUCGCAAAAGCUCUCAUCCACCUCGACGAGCCAAAAGCGCACGCUCUUCUCGGCGAUGGCUCCGGGAAGGACAAGACUACGGGGUGGUGCCUCGACACCGACGCCACCCACCACAUGACCGGUCGAAGGGAAUUCUUCGCCGAGCUCGACUCCGAUGCGCGAGGCUCCGUCAAGUUUGGGGAUGCCUCCGCUGUGGAAAUUAAGGGCGUCGGCUCCGUCAUCUUCACCGCCAAGGCGGGAGAGCACCGGCUGCUCACCGGUGUCUACUACAUCCCCGCGCUAAGGAACUCCAUCAUCAGCUUGGGACAGCUGGAUGAGAACGGCUCACGCGUGCUGAUUGAGCAUGGGGUCCUACGCAUCUGGGAUCGCCAGGGUCGCCUUCUCGCCAAGGUACCCAGAGGUGGAAAUCGACUUUACGUCCUUGAUGUGCAGGUGGCACAACCGGUCUGUCUCGCUGUCCGUCGGGACGACGAGGCGUGGCAAUGGCAUGAGCGCUUUGGGCACCUUCAUUUUGAGGCCCUGAAGCGUCUAAGUGCCAAGGAGAUGGUGCGAGGCCUGCCAUGCCUCGACCAUGUGGAGCAGUUCUGCGACAUCUGCGUGAUGACGAAGCAGAGACGACUCCCCUUUCCCCAACAGGCGAGUUUUCGGGCCAAGGAGAGGCUGGAGCUCGUGCACGGAGACCUGUGCGGCCCGGUGACGCCAGCCACACCAGGAGGUCGACGCUACUUCCUGCUGCUCGUCGACGAUCUCUCCCGUUACAUGUGGGUGAUGAUCCUCGGCAGUAAGGGAGAGGCGGCGGACGCCAUCAGGCGCGCGCAGGUUGGUGUGGAGGCGGAGAGCGGCCGCAAAUUGCGCGUGUUGCGCACUGACAACGGCGGCGAAUUCACGGCGGCUGAAUUCGCGUCGUACUGCGCCGAUGAGGGCAUCCAGCGCCACUACUCCGCGCCGUACAGCCCGCAGCAAAACGGCGUCGUCGAGCGGCGCAACCAGACGGUUGUGGGGAUGGCUCGAGCUCUCCUCAAGCAGAGAGGGAUGCCGGCUGUCUUCUGGGGAGAGGCGGUGCUAACAGUCGUCUACAUCCUAAACCGCUCGCCUACCAAGGCACUCGACGGCAGGACACCGUACGAGGCCUGGCAUGGGCGGAAGCCGGCGGUCUCCCACUUGCGGGUCUUUGGCUGCCUUGCGUUCGCCAAGGAGCUCGGUCACAUCGGCAAGCUCGACGACAGGAGCACUCCGGGAGUCUUCAUCGGCUACGCGGAGGGCUCAAAGGCCUACCGCAUCCUCAACCCAAAGACACAGCGUGUGCGCACGGCGCGAGACGUCGUGUUCAACGAAGGGCGAGGGUGGCAAUGGGACAAGGCGGUGGACGACGGCUCGACGCCGACGUACGACGACUUCAUUGUCGAGUACGUCCACUUCAAGGAAGCCGGGGGAGCAACCAGCUCCUCGUCGCCGGGCACGCCUACCCCGGCCCCCAAAACCACAUCGACUCCGGUGCCUGCUACGCCGACGGCACCACAACCGGCGACGCCGCACACUCCAGCCCCGGCAAUCACCACCCCGGGCUCAUCUUCAUCAGCACCAGCUCACGCAGAGCACAACCCGACGAAGUUCGCUUCUCCGCUCACUCACGACGAGGAGCGGAUCGACGCGUAUUAUGGCGGCGAACCGCUGCGGUAUCGUACGAUGGAAGAUCUACUCGGCGACCAGCCGGUGCCGAGACUGGUGCCACGUGACCUGGAGGCGCAGCUACAAAUCGCGUGUGAAGACGGCGAACCACGGUCUUUUGCAGAGGCCGAGAGAGACGCGGCAUGGCGCGCCGCGAUGCAGUUGGAGAUGGAUGCGGUCGAGCAAAACCGCACCUGGGAGCUCGCUGACCUCCCUCGUGGUCACCGCGCAAUCACCCUUAAGUGGGUGUUCAAGCUGAAGAGGGAUGGAGCCGGCGCCAUCAUCAAGCACAAGGCUCGCUUGGUGGCCCGAGGCUUCUUGCAACAGGAAGGAGUCGACUUCGACGACGCUUUCGCUCCCGUGGCACGGAUGGAGUCCGUGCGACUUCUCCUCGCGCUGGCUGCCCAGGAGGGCUGGCAUGUCCAUCACAUGGAUGUCAAGUCGGCAUUCCUCAACGGCGACUUGAAGGAGGAAGUCUACGUGCAUCAGCCACCGGGAUUUGCGAUCCCUGGCCAGGAGGGCAAGGUACUCCGCCUGCGCAAGGCUCUCUAUGGCCUACGGCAGGCACCUAGGGCGUGGAACGCCAAGCUGGACUCCACGCUAAAGAAGAUGGGCUUCGAGCAAAGCCCGCAUGAGGCGGCCGUCUACCGACGGGGCAGUGGAGGAAACGCCCUGCUGGUGGGCGUCUAUGUUGACGACUUGGUGAUUACCGGCACCAAAGAUGCAGAGGUGGCAGCGUUCAAGGAAGACAUGAAGGCCACCUUCCAGAUGAGUGAUCUGGGGCUCCUCUCCUUCUAUCUUGGGAUUGAGGUGCACCAGGAUCACUCCGGGAUCGCGCUUCGACAGUCCGCCUACGCCAAGCGCAUCGUUGAGCUAGCUGGGCUCACCGACUGUCACCCAGCUCUCACUCCGAUGGAGGAGAGGCUGAAACUGAGCCGCGACAGCAAGGCGGAGGAAGUGGAUGCUACGCAGUACCGACGCCUUGUGGGGAGCCUUCGCUACCUCGCCCACACACGACCGGACUUGGCAUUCUCCGUCGGCUAUGUCAGUCGGUUCAUGGAGCGACCGACGUCGGAACACCAGCAGGCAGUGAAGAGGAUCGUCCGCUACGUAGCAGGGACCCUCGACCACGGCCUCCACUACCCUAGGUGUCCGGGGGCGGCACACUUCGUCGGGUACAGCGACCACGCCGGCGACAUCGACACCAGCAAGAGCACGAGCGGGAUCCUCUUCUUCCUCGGCAAGUGUCUCGUGAGCUGGCAAUCAGUCAAGCAGCAGGUGGUGGCCCUGUCCAGCUGUGAGGCUGAGUACAUAGCGGCCUCCACCGCCUGCACUCAGGCGCUCUGGCUCGCUCGACUGCUUGGUGAUCUUCUUGUUCAAGACACCAGAACGGUGCAGCUCCUGGUGGACAGCAAGUCCGCCCUGGCCCUGGCAAAGAACCCGUUUUCCACGAACGGAGCAAGCACAUCCGACUGAGGUACCACUUCAUCCGCAGCUGUGUGGAAGAAGGGAGCAUCGAGGCGAGCUACAUCAACACCACGGACCAGCUCGCAGACCUGCUCACCAAGCCUCUUGGGAGGAUCAAGUUCCUCGAACUCUGCUCCAGGAUCGGGAUGAUUCAACCCUCCCACAAAACGACGUACAAGACUUAGGGGGAGAAUGAUGGAUAAGUCUAUGUACUAAGGUCUUUGUGGGGCUGCAGCACAUGGUCCUUUGGCUGCAGCACAUGGUCCUUGUGGCAGUUAGGAUAGAAUCCCUGGCCAUCAAGGACUGGCAGUUAGGAUAGCAUCUUAGACUAGCAUCUUAGACUGGCAUCUUAGCAGCAUCUUAGACUAGCAUCUUAGCAUAUGCUUGGCUGGCUAGCAGCCUAUAAGUAUGUAUCCCCAACCCCUCAGGUUGGCAUGGCAUUGUGUGAGAAAUAAACCAACGAAAAUUGUCCCAACUCUCCUAGUGUCAUCCACAACUAUGAAAUGCUCAGGCUGAAAGGUCUAACAGAGGAAUAAAUUGAAAGCGAAUAAUAAAGAUCGUACCAUUUUAUUUUAUUUUAGAAUGGAUAUCAAAUCUAUUGAAUCUACCCUCAUCUCUCUCAUAUUAAGACGUCCAGAAGACACGAUCCCCAACUCUAAGAUUCCCUCUAAUGAAUAGUACCCUAAUCUCAAUCUCUAUUCUACCAGCUCCAUGAAAAAGUGGCUGCAGCAUGGAGAUCUAAAUGUCUAAUUUACUUGAUCUUAAGUAUGAUUGCGGGAUGGCGAUUCUACCCAUCGAUUUAUAAUCUGGGAUGAAAUUUAGCUCAUGUGACAUGGAGAAAAAUUUAGGGAUUUCAGUACCUGUUCAGGCUCCGCCAAAUCCACUCGGCCAAAGAGUUUGGGGGUGAUGCUGCGAUGUACAUCUUCCCUCUGCAUAAGGUAUGGUUGGCGGCGCUACGCCACUGCGAGCGGCGAGCGACGGCGCAUCCUACAAAUAGUCCAUACAUGAAUAUCAACAGUAUGUAUGUACAGGUUAUCUGCUAAGUAGAAAUUUUAACUGCAUAAUUUUAUAAUUAUCACCAGAUCUCUUAAAUUACUUAACAGACAAACUAAAUAACUGAAAUUAUGAAGUGCAUAUGCCGCCAAGCAAAAGGAAAAUGGGAGGUUACAGAGAGAUUCAUACCUAUUGCUCUUCCUCCGCCUGACACGAACAACUGGCCCUUCAGCGCAGCGCCAAAACUCUC